RNAcentral lists this long non-coding RNA (568 nucleotides) under Eucalyptus grandis. Its description in RNAcentral is "long non-coding RNA (EGRA_LNC003951)". The record is from RNAcentral. Lineage: Eukaryota; Viridiplantae; Streptophyta; Magnoliopsida; Myrtales; Myrtaceae.
CACAAACGACUUCAAUCCACCAUCAAUUUCCUUCUCCGACUCUCGGUCCGCCGGUUGCCACCAUCGAUCCACCAUCGCCGGCCACAACAGCUAUGUAUGUUCAGAGCAAAAGACAGAGUAUCAGAAAGGAAGGACUCAGAAAUCUCCGAACAGCCACAAAAAUCUCUCAUGAAUAAUCGAUUUUCAGAGGCUUCUCCCAUCUUCAUCCCCUCUCCGUCGCACCAUCCCCGGCCACCGGAAGCCACUGCUCAUCCACCGUCGCCAACCACCACAGGUUACAGCAUAGACCAGAGCACAUUUAUAUACAUACAGAGCUCAGCAUGAAUUUCCACUCCCGGAGCGGUUUCUCUCGUUCACUCUUUGCCCUGUUUCUUGGUCUCCAUUGGCGAAGUGCUCAAACCUCGGUCAACACUGCCUCCUUCAACGAUUCCAGUCAACAAUGUUGCUCCUGGGAUCUCCCCACUCAGAUCUGAUCAUCAUCUCCUUACCGGAGAUUUGGGAAUGACAUUGAAUUGGCAAAUUAGGAUUUAGAGAUUUGGGAUUGAGACAUUUUUGUUUGCAUUACAUC